GACGAACGCUGGCGGCGUGCUUAACACGUGCAAGUCGAACGGAAAGGCCCUGCUUUUGCGGGGUGCUCGUGUGGCGAACGGGUGAGUAACACGUGAGUAACCUGCCCUUGUCUUUGGGAUAACUUCAGGAAACUGGGGCUAAUACCGGAUAGGAUCUCCUGCUCCAUGGUGGGGGUUGGAAAGUUUCGGCGGUUGGGGAUGUACUCGCGGCUUAUCAGCUUGUUGGUGGGGUAGUUGCUUACCAAGGCUAUGACGGGUAGCCGGCCUGAGAGGGUGACCGGCCACAUUGGGACUGAGAUACGGACCAGACUCCUACGGGAGGCAGCAGUGGGGAAUAUUGCACAGUGGGCGGAAGUCUGAUGCAGCAGCGCCGCGUGCGGGAUGACGGCCUUCGGGUUGUAAACCGAUUUCGCCUGUGACGAAGAGUGAGUGACGGUAAUGGGUAAAGAAGCACCGGCUAACUACGUG
RNAcentral lists this ribosomal RNA (468 nucleotides) under uncultured bacterium. RNAcentral describes it as "partial 16S ribosomal RNA". It matches the Rfam family "Bacterial small subunit ribosomal RNA", at positions 28 to 507 of the family's 1533-position model. The record is from RNAcentral.